GCCUCAGUAGCUCAGUUGUAUAGAGCAGCCCCCUCCUAAGGGGCAGGUCGCAGGUUAGAGUCCUGCCUGGGGCACCA
RNAcentral lists this transfer RNA (77 nucleotides) under Marinobacterium iners. Its description in RNAcentral is "Marinobacterium georgiense tRNA-Arg". It matches the Rfam family "tRNA". From Rfam's summary of the family: Transfer RNA (tRNA) molecules are approximately 80 nucleotides in length. RNAcentral also lists the same sequence under 8 other names. Lineage: Bacteria; Pseudomonadati; Pseudomonadota; Gammaproteobacteria; Oceanospirillales; Oceanospirillaceae. The record is from RNAcentral.